RNA transcript from Capsella rubella, 1899 nucleotides. It is a transcript of the gene named DNA-directed RNA polymerase III subunit rpc31, with no coding region annotated. Lineage: Eukaryota; Viridiplantae; Streptophyta; Magnoliopsida; Brassicales; Brassicaceae. The record is from RefSeq and is a predicted model, not a curated record. The transcript has 10 exons.
UCUUCUUCUUUUUCUUCUUCUUCUUCUUCUUCAAUUGCUUCGUCUCUCGCGGCCACAAUUGCUCACUGAAUUGGAAAGCACAGAGAAAGUUUUCGAAGGAGACAAUCAUUCGGAGAUGUCUUGGAGAGGAGGCCGAGGAAGAGGACGAGGUGGGUACGGAGGCGGUGGCGCUGACUAUGGCAAAGUUGAGCCUUUUGUGAUUUUCCCUGAAAUUACGUUACCUGAUCCCAAAUCAAUCACAUUAGAGUCAGAAUUACUUAAAAGCAACAACAAGUUCAAUUAUUUUUGGGUAAACUCUCCUUAUCAUUUAGGCGAUGGUGUUUCAACGAAAGAGAAUGAGAGUUUUGACAUUGAGAGGUACUCAGACUCGUUGAAGCCGAAGAUUAGUUCUAAUAAGAAGGGAUCUUUCUAUGAUUUUCUUGUUCUUAGACCUGAUAACUUCCCUAAAGAACUUCUUGGAGAUACUCGAAGAGAACGGCCUGUGAAGAGAGUUAAAUGGAGUCAAGAAGCAGAUUUGCAGAAACUGGAUGUGUUUGAAAAGCUUGAAGCUAAGUUUAAGGCUGAAGGCAAGGAAGAGAAAGAAGAAGGAGAAGAUGAUGAAGAAGGAGAAGUAUCAGAGGGAGAAGACUCUGAUAACGGAGAUUAUGAACAGAAUCGAGACUUUGAUGAUGAUGAUGACGAUUAUAAUCAGGUGGAUGAUAAUGAAUUUGAAGAUGUUUAUUAAGCUCCCUCUGUUUCCGAAAAGAAUAAAGUUUUGCAGACAAGAGAAGCCAAGCCUGUCCCAAGCUUUAGUUUUAGCUGCACCUAGGUUCUGUCGUCCAAGAGUCGCUUGUUCUUUUUCCAGACUUGAUUACAGGGGAGAGGAUUCUUCUACCAUGGUCAUCACACCUAAACCAGGUUACUUUUAAUUACUUGAAGCGAAAUUUCUUGAACAAAGGAAAAUGGAUUUUUAGAGUGAAGAAUCUGUUUUUAAUAGUCAAAUCUUUUGUUAUAGUAUAAACAGAUUUUUCACUUCUUGACCUAUCGUCAUAUUUGUGCCACUUUAAUAUACUUAUACCAAGCGAGUUGAUGAGCUGAGUAUAAAUAAAACUUGAUGAGUUUAGGUAUAUGUUUGUUAAAGUCUUGAUGGCAUACCGGAAGAUGACUUUUGAGGUGGUAUCAGGUAAGGUCAAAGUAUACACAUUAAUAUGACAUGUCUAAAAGCCUGAUUAUCAAAGCUGGUUUCAUUUGCCAAUAGCUCAACAUACUAUCUCCUCCUCUAUGCUGGCUGACCUCUUUAUUAAUUGAAUAAGAGUUGCAUACAGUCAUGACCUUACAUAAGGUGGAUCUUUAGAUCUGAGUUUCCUCUUAAAUAUCAAGUGUAUUUAGCUAUUACAUUUGUUUUCCAUGGAUGCAGAGAAAAAUAGAGGUUGAGGCAUAGUGAUGUUGAAAACCGCCAUGAUUGCCUUUGAAGGUAUUUCUCUGGUCACUCUCUUUUGUGCAGUUAUGUUGCUAUAGAAAGACCUGAGCUCAAGAUCCUUCACCGCAAGUGUUUGAUGUUUUGUUAUCAUCGAAGUUUCCAAAGGAAUUGAUAUACGACGCUGCCAUGAGACACAUUUGGCUUGAUAAUAUUGCUGCAACUUACGAUAAUGCUGGAGUUUAUAGUCAGACUGAACAGUAAGUCCAGUGAGGAAGGGUAUAUUGGAUCUAUGAGAUGAUGUAAUAUCCUGUGAUCCCACAUCUCUCCCAACAUGUAAUCAUGGCUACUAAACAUGUGUUUGUAAUUACAUCAUAUAUACUUUUGCUGCAGAUAUUGUAGAUACUGCAACAUUCUCCCAUCUGAAAGAGUACCCUUGUUCGUAAAUUAUUUAGCUAAUUGAAGUGAAAGCUUUGGCAAAGAAUAUGAUUUAGUUUCUGAUC